GUAGGUGUGUGUGAGUGCAAGUUUGUCACCUGUAAGUGUACAUUUGUAAGUGUGGUGAGAACGGUAGAAGGUCUGUGUCGGAGUCUGGGAUUUUAGUGUGUUUUCUGCCUGCUACUAGAUGCCGCCAGAGCCUCUGAUUCUGUGAAUAACAGGUGCUGAGAUGAACAGGUGCUGCCAAUCUACAUUCUCUUGGAGGAGUAUAAGAAGGCAGGGCUGUCUGCACUCCAGUGCCUGACUGUUAGCCUUUGUGGUGACUUCCUAGUCCUGGCUCCAAGCUCCUGUGUCAGUUUAGUGCUGGCUUCAAGCUUCAGUCCGCCUCCUGCCAAAGUCAAGACAUCAAGCCUUCAAGAACUGUUUUGGAUCAAGUUCCAGCAGACAGCCCAAGCCCUUCGACUCCUACAAUCUCAGAGAGCUCUCCUCUUACCUUGGAUUAAUACCCUGACUCAGCAGCAACUAAUCCGCCAGGCUCCGCAUCGUUCUCCCUCGGCCCACCACGUUCUCAUCAUCUACUUUGGUGCAUCCUGCUCCAGGUCCAUAUCCACUUCCUGUCAAAAUACACUGUUCUCCUGCCUCCUGACUGUCAUUCUGCAUGUGGGUCAAAUCUGUAAAGAAAACCAGUAAGGGGUUUCAGCAUCUCAUCUUCCUUAGAACAAUCAGGGUAAUCUACCACUGGAGGGGUUGGCAAUUUUGUUUCCAGCAACAUAAUUUCCCAUAAUAAAUCCAAUCCCUUGUACAAGAAAUAAAUGAUGCACAGUAACAUUAAAAACUCCAGAUAGCAACUUUGUCAUAAUACAUCCUACAAACAUACCCAAAUCAAAAAUUAGAAUAUUUUUGAAAGUCAAUUUAUUUUAGCAACCCCAUCACUAACUCAAACACAUUAUAUAGAUUAAUUGCACAGAGAGAUGUUUAAAAGCCUUCAUUAAUGUUAAUUCUAAAGAUUUUCUGCUAACGGCAAAUGAAAACACAACAUUUAAGAUUAGAAUAUUACAUCAAAUCAAUAAUAAAAAAAAACAUUUUCAAUAAAGUUUAAUAUUUGCUUGAAGGUUGAUAUUUUCAAAAGGUGCUACUAAUCUGACCAACGAGCGUCAUUGGAAAGCAUAUUCUAAUUUAUUGCAGAAAUGCUACUACUUAUACCAUCCCAAUAUGUUGUACAAUUGGCCCUGCCUGACAGGAAGUCUCUUCACUGAGUUAAAAAGGGGGCUGGAAUUCUAGUCUUUGCUAUCUGCUCCUCAGGA
This is a long non-coding RNA of Girardinichthys multiradiatus, 1235 nucleotides long. RefSeq lists it as uncharacterized. NCBI's taxonomy places the organism in Eukaryota, Metazoa, Chordata, Actinopteri, Cyprinodontiformes, Goodeidae. The transcript is spliced from 4 exons. The record is from RefSeq and is a predicted model, not a curated record.